RNAcentral lists this ribosomal RNA (305 nucleotides) under uncultured bacterium. RNAcentral describes it as "bacterial SSU rRNA". It matches the Rfam family "Bacterial small subunit ribosomal RNA", at positions 334 to 636 of the family's 1533-position model. The record is from RNAcentral.
UAUCCUACGAGGGGCAGCAGUGAGGAAUAUUGGUCAAUGGACGCAAGUCUGAACCAGCCAUGCCGCGUGCAGGAUGACGGCUCUAUGAGUUGUAAACUGCUUUUGUACGAGGGUAAACCCCGAUACGUGUAUCGGGUUGAAAGUAUCGUACGAAUAAGGAUCGGCUAACUACGUGCCAGCAGCCGCGGUAAAACGUAGGGGGCGAGUGUUGUCCGGAAUGACUGGGCGUAAAGGGUGCGUAGGCGGCAUAAUAAGUUAGAAGUGAAAUACCCAGAGCUUAACUCGGGUGCUGCUUCUAAGACUGU